AAAAAGAUAAGCUAAAUAAGCUAAUGGGUUCAUACCCCAUUUAUAAAGGUCAUAGUCCUUUUCUUUUUA
RNAcentral lists this transfer RNA (69 nucleotides) under Sipalinus gigas. RNAcentral's name for it is "tRNA-Met". It matches the Rfam family "tRNA". From Rfam's summary of the family: Transfer RNA (tRNA) molecules are approximately 80 nucleotides in length. Their secondary structure includes four short double-helical elements and three loops (D, anti-codon, and T loops). Further hydrogen bonds mediate the characteristic L-shaped molecular structure. tRNAs have two regions of fundamental functional importance: the anti-codon, which is responsible for specific mRNA codon recognition, and the 3' end, to which the tRNAs corresponding amino acid is attached (by aminoacyl-tRNA synthetases). tRNAs cope with the degeneracy of the genetic code in two manners: having more than one tRNA (with a specific anti-codon) for a particular amino acid; and 'wobble' base-pairing, i.e. permitting non-standard base-pairing at the 3rd anti-codon position. Lineage: Eukaryota; Metazoa; Arthropoda; Insecta; Coleoptera; Curculionidae. The record is from RNAcentral.